UACAGAGGGUGCGAGCGUUGUUCGGAAUUAUUGGGCGUAAAGGGCGCGUAGGCGGUGCGGUAAGUCACCUGUGAAACCUCUGGGCUUAACUCAGAGCCUGCAGGCGAAACUACCGUGCUGGAGUGUGGGAGAGGUGCGUGGAAUUCCCGGUGUAGCGGUGAAAUGCGUAGAUAUUGGGAGGAACACCAGUGGCGAAGGCGGCUCACUGGACCGGUACUGACGCUGAUGCGCGAAAGCGUGGGGAGCAAACAGG
Molecule: ribosomal RNA, 253 nt
Filed under: uncultured bacterium
Lineage: Bacteria
Description: partial 16S ribosomal RNA
Rfam family: Bacterial small subunit ribosomal RNA
Source: RNAcentral